GGGGGCGAAAUUGGAUUCGACCGGGCAGGUAGCGGUGUUGUGCGGCGUGCCGUGGUUGGUCAGUUGGCCACGUUAAAAGCUGACCGCAACAAUAACUGCUGAAACGCAGUACGCAUUGGCUGCCUAAUAAGCGGCAGCCGGAGCUGCGGACCUUCGCCUGAGAGGUCCAAAAGCUCCUUGCCAAGUCAGGCUCGCGGAAGGUCAAUGCCCGCUACGCCUUCCGUCAAAAACCGUGGCGGACUAGCCUUGUGCCGGACCCUGCUUGCUGGGGACCGCACUGGCGAACCAAAAAUAGGCAAGCUACGCACGUAGAGGCCUUCACCAAAAUGCCGCGGGACGCGGGUUCGAUUCCCGCCGCCUCCACUU
Molecule: transfer-messenger RNA, 366 nt
Filed under: Planctomycetota bacterium
Lineage: Bacteria; Pseudomonadati; Planctomycetota
Description: Planctomycetes bacterium (groundwater metagenome) transfer-messenger RNA
Rfam family: transfer-messenger RNA
About the family: Bacterial tmRNA, also known as 10Sa RNA or SsrA, is named for its dual tRNA and mRNA-like properties. Its role is to liberate the mRNA from a stalled ribosome.
Source: RNAcentral